This 253-nucleotide non-coding RNA is filed under the name uncultured Gammaproteobacteria bacterium. Its description in RNAcentral is "contains 16S-23S intergenic spacer region". It matches the Rfam family "Bacterial small subunit ribosomal RNA", at positions 524 to 776 of the family's 1533-position model. Lineage: Bacteria; Pseudomonadati; Pseudomonadota; Gammaproteobacteria. RNAcentral also lists the same sequence under 1 other name. The record is from RNAcentral.
UACGUAGGGUGCAAGCGUUAAUCGGAAUUACUGGGCGUAAAGCGUGCGCAGGCGGUUGUGUAAGUCUGAUGUGAAAGCCCCGGGCUUAACCUGGGAACUGCAUUGGAGACUGCACAGCUAGAGUGCGUCAGAGGGGGGUAGAAUUCCGCGUGUAGCAGUGAAAUGCGUAGAGAUGCGGAGGAAUACCGAUGGCGAAGGCAGCCCCCUGGGAUGACACUGACGCUCAUGCACGAAAGCGUGGGGAGCAAACAGG